Molecule: transfer RNA, 81 nt
Filed under: Rheum officinale
Lineage: Eukaryota; Viridiplantae; Streptophyta; Magnoliopsida; Caryophyllales; Polygonaceae
Also listed under: 1 other name
Description: tRNA-Leu
Rfam family: tRNA (bases 1-66)
About the family: Transfer RNA (tRNA) molecules are approximately 80 nucleotides in length. Their secondary structure includes four short double-helical elements and three loops (D, anti-codon, and T loops). Further hydrogen bonds mediate the characteristic L-shaped molecular structure. tRNAs have two regions of fundamental functional importance: the anti-codon, which is responsible for specific mRNA codon recognition, and the 3' end, to which the tRNAs corresponding amino acid is attached (by aminoacyl-tRNA synthetases). tRNAs cope with the degeneracy of the genetic code in two manners: having more than one tRNA (with a specific anti-codon) for a particular amino acid; and 'wobble' base-pairing, i.e. permitting non-standard base-pairing at the 3rd anti-codon position.
Source: RNAcentral
UGGUAGACACGCGAGACUCAAAAUCUCGUGCUAAAGAGCGUGGAGGUUCGAGUCCUCUUCAAGGCAUAGAGAAUGCUCAUU